Oxyura jamaicensis (ruddy duck) is the source of this 1837-nucleotide long non-coding RNA. RefSeq lists it as uncharacterized. The transcript has 3 exons. The record is from RefSeq and is a predicted model, not a curated record. Lineage: Eukaryota; Metazoa; Chordata; Aves; Anseriformes; Anatidae.
UAGUACUGAUCUCAUUUUUUUUUGACCUGCCUGCCUUUUAGUCAUACCUCGGGUCAGAAGUGGCUUUUUCCCCUGAGUGUUUCUCUGUGUGAGGGGGCGGACAGAGAAGACUUAAAGGCGGAUGGCAGCACCUAUCCUUACUGCUUAGAUCACCUUCAGAGCACUUCACACCUGCAGGUGCUACUGAAAAAAAUGCUGACUUGCAAGUGGACUGGAUACAGGAACGUGAAAUGGAGGAAAACGCUAAAAUGUUCUUCCAGCCUGGCUGCAGCUGGAAUGAUUUCAGCAUGCUUUGCCACGAGGCAGACAGAAGAUUACGUUCUGCCCUCGCUAAUGUGACUAAGGAGAGGAGAGAGGAGGAUACGCUUCCUGUCCCUGGGUCAAAAGGGGAAAUAUUUUUGGCUGAAAUUCUGUUCUCGUGCGCCAAGCUGCAGAGACUUUCACCAUAGCCACCGGUACAGAACAGAUGAAGCUGGGACUCGAUGCAUGUGGAAGCCUCCUGUUUUUCUUUAAACUGUUUCAGGGGUCAAACUUCAGCUGGCGGAAGCAAGGGCAGUUCUGCUACGCUGCAGAAAAGCAACAGUUACACCUGCUAAAAAUGAAUCCUUGGUUUAAUGAGGCUCAGGGAAGUGAAAACAAUGCAAAGAGACUUGAGGUAAUCGCUCAGGGGAUGCAAUUUUUGUCUUUUGUAUGCCUAAGCAAAUAUUCCAAAAAAUAUCUGAAGUCGUAAUAACAAUUAAUGCACCCGUUAAUUGCAUUUGGAAAGUAAUUUUGGAGACAUGUGGAGAACAGAAGGAGAAAGAUGGGAGCUUCUAAAAAAUGCAUGAGGAGCCAAGGCUGCAGAAGCAGAAUUGCUUAUUAAGAAAAGCAGAGUCACCCUAUGGUAUUUAUGAAGUAAUGUAUGUUGCUGUGUCCUUCAGAGGUGAUUUGUUUUAUCAUCACCAGGUGGUUCUUCUAUCCCAACGCAGCUGAAAGGCAGGAUACAUGCACAUUAAUCAUGCAUUAGACUGUUAAACUCCUUUAAGUAAAUAUUGUCCUGGGAUGUGAACGGCUGAGAUCUGUGGAGGCUCCCAGUUAGGAUAAGUCACUUUAAAGAAUUAAAGUACAUUUGUGAAAGCAGCUAAACUUUAGUAUUUUUUUCUCUGUGGGGACAUGCCGCACUGAUUUAUUUCACUAACUUCUGACAAAUGGAAAUAUCACUCUCCCAAAAUAAUUAGAACCUUCAGUGUCCUAAUGCGUGCAGCAAUAUCAGCUGGGAUUUGCUGACCUUUGGAUAAUGGAGCUCACGAUGUUUAAUGUCACAAGCGAUGCCCCUAGAGAGACUUGGCAACAAAGGUUAAGAGGGAAUGGGGGUCUUGAAGUUCAGAAUAUGUGGGGAGAAGCAUAGUUGGUACCUCAACGUUCAGGUUUAUGCUCCAAUUUCACCAUCAUAUGCGUGUCUGAAAAGUGAUGGCAUGGCAUUUUGCUCUCCCCAGUGCCUUAAUGUAUAGCUGGCGGAAUGAAUUGCCUUUCCAGAAGAAAUCCUGCCAUCGUUAUAAGUAGUAAAGGUGCAUUAGUAAUUAUGAUAUGAACUGUUCAUAUUUUAUGCAUGGUGUUUCAUUAACACCAUUUCAUUAACACGUGUGGUAUUGUGAUGUACCUUUUGUUCCUGUGAAAUAAGAGUGAGCAAGGCCAGACCAUCUCCUAAAAGUCCUAAUUCAGGAAAAAAAAUAAAAAUAAAAAUAAAACUAAGGCUGUACUUGCAUCUCUGCAGUACAUGGAUGUGAUAAUACUAGAAGCAGAGGAUUGCUGCUUGUUGUACAGCUUCCCUAGGAUGCACCGUGGUUUUUCUGGCAAG